This 253-nucleotide ribosomal RNA is filed under the name uncultured bacterium. Its description in RNAcentral is "partial 16S ribosomal RNA". It matches the Rfam family "Bacterial small subunit ribosomal RNA", at positions 524 to 776 of the family's 1533-position model. The record is from RNAcentral.
GACAGAGGCCUCGAGCGUUAGGCGGAAUCACUGGGCUUAAAGCGUGUGUAGGCGGACCCCUAAGUACCUUGUGAAAUCCCACGGCUCACCCGUGGAACCGCUGGGUAUACUGGGGGUCUUGGGCCACUCAGGGGCGACUGGAACAAGCGGUGGAGCGGUGAAAUGCGUAGAUAUCGCUUGGAACGCCGAAGGUGAAAACAGGUCGCUGGGAGUGCGCCGACGCUGAGACACGAAAGCCAGGGGAGCAAACGGG